CCUACGGGAGGCAGCAGUGGGGAAUUUUGGGCAAUGGGCGCAAGCCUGACCGAGCAAUGCCGCGUGAAGGAAGAAGGCUUUCGGGUUGUAAACUUCUGUUGAGAGGGAAGAACAGAAGACGGUGCCUCUUCAAUAUGCCACGGCUAACUACGUGCCAGCCGCCGGGGUAAUACGUUGGGGGCAAGCGUUGUACGGAUUUACUGGGGGUAAAGGGCGGGCAGCCGGGAAGACAAGGCAGGGGUGAAAACCCACGGCCUAACCGCGUAAAUGCAUUUGAAACUGGUUUUCUAGAGUGCAGGAGAGGGCGGCGGAACUCCUUGUGUAGCGGUAAAAUGCGUAGAUAUAAGGAAGAACACCAGUGGCGAAGGCGGAUGACUGGACGGUUACUGACGGUGAGGCGCGAAAGCGUGGGGAGCAAACAGGAUUAGAUACCCUUGUAGUC
RNAcentral lists this ribosomal RNA (442 nucleotides) under uncultured bacterium. Its description in RNAcentral is "partial 16S ribosomal RNA". It matches the Rfam family "Bacterial small subunit ribosomal RNA", at positions 338 to 795 of the family's 1533-position model. The record is from RNAcentral.